RNAcentral lists this ribosomal RNA (497 nucleotides) under uncultured bacterium. RNAcentral's name for it is "partial 16S ribosomal RNA". It matches the Rfam family "Bacterial small subunit ribosomal RNA", at positions 28 to 507 of the family's 1533-position model. The record is from RNAcentral.
GAUGAACGCUGGCGGCGUGCCUAAUACAUGCAAGUCGAGCGAACGGACGAGAAGCUUGCUUUUCUGAUGUUAGCGGCGGACGGGUGAGUAACCCGUGGAUAACCUACCUAUUAGACUGGGAUAACUUCGGGAAACCGGAGCUAAUACCGGAUAAUAUUUUGAACCGCAUGGUUCAAAAGUGAAAGACGGUCUUGCUGUCACUUAUAGAUGGAUCCGCGCUGCAUUAGCUAGUUGGUAAGGUAACGGCUUACCAAGGCAACGAUGCAUAGCCGACCUGAGAGGGUGAUCGGCCACACUGGAACUGAGACACGGUCCAGACUCCUACGGGAGGCAGCAGUAGGGAAUCUUCCGCAAUGGGCGAAAGCCUGACGGAGCAACGCCGCGUGAGGGAUGAAGGUCUUCGGAUCGUAAAACGCUGUUAUUAGGGAAGAACAUAGGUGUAAGUAACUGUGCACAUCUUGACGGUACCUAAUCAAAAAGCCGCGGCUAACUACGUG